ACUCCUACGGGAGGCAGCAGUGGGGAAUAUUGCACAAUGGGCGAAAGCCUGAUGCAGCAAUGCCGCGUGUGUGAAGAAGGCCUGCGGGUUGUAAAGCACUUUUAUCGGGAAAGAAAAACCAGGGCUAAUACCCUUGGUCUUGACGGUACCCGUUGAAUAAGCACCGGCUAACUCCGUGCCAGCAGCCGCGGUAAUACGGAGGGUGCGAGCGUUAAUCGGAAUUACUGGGCGUAAAGCGCAUGCAGGUGGUUUGUUAAGUCAGAUGUGAAAGCCCGGGGCUCAACCUCGGAAUUGCAUUUGAAACUGGCAGACUAGAGUACUGUAGAGGGGGUAGGAAUUUCAUGGUGUAGCGGUGAAAUGCAGUAGAGAUCUGAAGGAAUACCGGUGGCGAAGGCGGCCCCUGGACCAGAUACUGACACUCAGAUGCGAAAGCGUGGGGGAGCAAAACAGGAUUAGGAUA
Molecule: ribosomal RNA, 460 nt
Filed under: uncultured bacterium
Lineage: Bacteria
Description: bacterial SSU rRNA
Rfam family: Bacterial small subunit ribosomal RNA
Source: RNAcentral